ACCAAGAACCGACACAGGUGUCCCUAGGCGAGAAACCUAAGGCGUGUCGGGUAUACACUAAUGCGAGGGAACUCGGCAAUUUAGCCCCGUACCUUCGGUAUAAGGGGUGCCUGCUCUUUCAGCCUUGUGCUGGUAAAAGCAGGUCGCAGUGACAAAGGGGUCUCGACUGUUUAAUAAAAACACAGGAAGCCGCAAGAGCGAAAGCUUGUGAACGGCUUCUGAAUCCUGGCCAGUACAGGUACCUGAAACCUGGGUCCAACUGGGCUAAGGGCCUGCAAACGCCGGGAGUAACUCUGACUCUCUCAAGGUAGCCAAAUGCCUUGUCGGGUAAGUUCCGACGUGCAUGAAUGGAUCAACGAGGGCCCCACUGUCCCCGCGUAGUACCCGGUGAAACCACAUAACGUGGACGAACAGUCCACGAUCUCCCAGCGGGAAAAGAAGUCCCUGUGGAGUUUUACUGCAGCCUGCCGCUGGAAUACGGUUGUGGAUGCAGAGCGUAGUCGGGAGCCGUCGAUCUGGGGUUCUCCGGGACCUCGGGGAGGCAACAAUGGAACACCGACUUUCUGCAACCGUGUUUCUCACCGGCCCCUUGCGGGCUGGAACAACGGUAGGUGGGCAGUUCGGCUGGGGCGGCACGCCCUUGAAAAGAUAUCAAGGGCGCCCUAAGGUUGGCUCAGGAGGGACAGAAACCCUCCGUAGAGUGCAAGGGCAAAAGCCAGCCUGACUGGAUCCCAAACAGUAAGGGAUGCAGAGGAGAAAUCCGGGCUUAGCGAUCAUCCAUGUCCCCCUUGGUGGGGGCUGGAUGUGUCAGAAAAAUUACCCUAGGGAUAACAGGCUCGUCGCGGGCGAGAGUCCCCAUCGACCCCGCGGCUUGGUACCUCGAUGUCGGCUCUUCCUAUCCUGGCCCUGCAUAAGGGGCCAAGGGUGAGGCUGCUCGCCUAUUAAAAGGGAACGUGAGCUGGGUUUAGACCGUCGUGAGACAGGUCGGACUUUAUCUGCUGGGAGUGUUGGCUGCCUGAGGGGAAAGGGUCCCUAGUACGAGAGGAACGGGACGCUGUGGCCUCUAGUUAACCGGUUGUCCGACAGGGCAGUUGCCGGGCAGCCACGCUGCUGAGGAUAAGAGCUGAAAGCAUCUAAGCUCGAAGCCUCUCCCGAAAAGAGGCAGCCAUUCCAGUUUCACUGGACGAAGGCUCCCAUAAAAGAUGGGUUUGAUGGAGCCGGGGUGUAAGCUAGAAGACUUCGGUCGACUAGCUCAGCCUGCGGCCACCAAUCGCCUGAGAUGUCGAG
RNAcentral lists this ribosomal RNA (1287 nucleotides) under soil metagenome. RNAcentral describes it as "bacterial LSU rRNA". It matches the Rfam family "Archaeal large subunit ribosomal RNA", at positions 1740 to 2987 of the family's 2987-position model. The record is from RNAcentral.